GGGUUGUGAGGUUAAGCGACUAAGCGUACACGGUGGAUGCCCUGGCAGUCAGAGGCGAUGAAGGGCGUGCUAAUCUGCGAUAAGCGCCGGUAAGGUGAUAUGAACCGUUAUAACCGGCGAUACCCGAAUGGGGAAACCCAGUGUGACUCGUCACACUAUCAUUAACUGAAUCCAUAGGUUAAUGAGGCGAACCGGGGGAACUGAAACAUCUAAGUACCCCGAGGAAAAGAAAUCAACCGAGAUUCCCCCAGUAGCGGCGAGCGAACGGGGAGGAGCCCAGAGCCUGAAUCAGCAUGUGUGUUAGUGGAAGCGUCUGGAAAGGCGCGCGAUACAGGGUGACAGCCCCGUACACAAAAGCGCAUGUGCUGUGAGCUCGAUGAGUAGGGCGGGACACGUGGUAUCCUGUCUGAAUAUGGGGGGACCAUCCUCCAAGGCUAAAUACUCCUGACUGACCGAUAGUGAACCAGUACCGUGAGGGAAAGGCGAAAAGAACCCCGGCGAGGGGAGUGAAAAAGAACCUGAAACCGUGUACGUACAAGCAGUGGGAGCCCCACCACCAAAGCAUUUGCUGUACCGCGUUGACGGAGCGAAGCGACGUCAAACCGAUAAAACAGCAGUGUAAAGUGAGCCGCAGGGCGCUUUGCGCGACAGCGCAAAGGCAGGCGGUUUCGCGUAGCGAAAGCGAAUGCUUUGGGGUGGGGUGACUGCGUACCUUUUGUAUAAUGGGUCAGCGACUUAUAUUCUGUAGCAAGGUUAACCGAAUAGGGGAGCCGGAGGGAAACCGAGUCUUAAUUGGGCGUUAAGUUGCAGGGUAUAGACCCGAAACCCGGUGAUCUAGCCAUGGGCAGGUUGAAGGUUGGGUAACACUAACUGGAGGACCGAACCGACUAAUGUUGAAAAAUUAGCGGAUGACCUGUGGCUGGGGGUGAAAGGCCAAUCAAACCGGGAGAUAGCUGGUUCUCCCCGAAAGCUAUUUAGGUAGCGCCUCGUGAAUUCAUCUCCGGGGGUAGAGCACUGUUUCGGCUAGGGGGCCAUCCCGGCUUACCAACCCGAUGCAAACUGCGAAUACCGGAGAAUGUUAUCACGGGAGACACACGGCGGGUGCUAACGUCCGUCGUGAAGAGGGAAACAACCCAGACCGCCAGCUAAGGUCCCAAAGUCAUGGUUAAGUGGGAAACGAUGUGGGAAGGCCCAGACAGCCAGGAUGUUGGCUUAGAAGCAGCCAUCAUUUAAAGAAAGCGUAAUAGCUCACUGGUCGAGUCGGCCUGCGCGGAAGAUGUAACGGGGCUAAACCAUGCACCGAAGCUGCGGCAGCGAACGUAUCACUUAAAGCGAUUCAGCGGGUUACGAUUGACGGAGCGAAGCGACGUCAAAGCGUAUACAAAGUCGAGUCGGUUUAAGGAUACGUUCGUUGGGUAGGGGAGCGUUC
Molecule: ribosomal RNA, 1429 nt
Filed under: Salmonella enterica subsp. enterica serovar Enteritidis
Lineage: Bacteria; Pseudomonadati; Pseudomonadota; Gammaproteobacteria; Enterobacterales; Enterobacteriaceae
Description: partial 23S ribosomal RNA
Rfam family: Bacterial large subunit ribosomal RNA
Source: RNAcentral